RNAcentral lists this unclassified non-coding RNA (306 nucleotides) under Basidiomycota sp. RNAcentral's name for it is "partial contains small subunit ribosomal RNA, internal transcribed spacer 1, and 5.8S ribosomal RNA". The stretch from base 1 to 47 matches the Rfam family "Eukaryotic small subunit ribosomal RNA", at positions 1785 to 1831 of the family's 1831-position model. Lineage: Eukaryota; Fungi; Basidiomycota. The record is from RNAcentral.
AAAGUCGUAACAAGGUUUCCGUAGGUGAACCUGCGGAAGGAUCAUUACCGAAUGACCUGCACCUUCUUGUAGCAGACCGGCGCUCGUUGGGUUGAUCAAGGCUAGUGGCUGAUAUGGGGGGUGGGGUGGCUACUAGUUGUUUGAAAUGAUCAGGCGCGGCGCGGGCCUCUUGGCCCUUUUGGUCUGCUAUGCCUACCAAUACAACCUGUCAUUGCAUGGUGGGGUGGCAUCCUUUUGUUGGGUUUGCCCCCUCAAGUAUGGAAAUAUCAAUAUAUAUAACUUUCAACAACGGAUCUCUUGGCUCUC